CUUCGACGGCAUGAAACGCUACAAAGUUAGCUCCGCCCGCUGACUGGGCGCCUACGACCUUUAUUUAUUGGAAAGGCGGGAUCUUAAGGCACAAGACGCCCACCUUUCUUUUCGGGGGGCGCUGCGCCUGCCGCCGUGGCCAAUCGCAGGCCACGUUUUGUCCCAGCAGCCAAUCAGAAAGACCAGAACGAUUACGACGCCAUUGGGCCGCCCCUCCCUCGCUGGUCGAGGGUGGUUAGUGGAAGCAACUGCCAUGGAUUCCUUUUCAUCCGCUCUGACUAAAUCCAUUGCCAUCGCGCUUCUUGUGAGGCCCAGAGGGAGCAUGCGAAGGGGAGAGGCAGGACCAAAGUUGAAGCGAAUCAGGCGUACCAAUGGGUCUCCGGUUCCUUGAUGCGGAGACAAUGGUACGGUUGACCGUAGGUGUGUGUCCUCGGAGGAGCUUGAAUGAGAAUCUCACAUGAAGAUAAGUUGACUUUUAAUUCAACGAACCCUUUUCUGCAAGAGCUUGUGCCCCAGUGGGGGAAUUAAGGAGGUAAGAAGGGGACUCUCGGGGAAACGCACUAAGUGGGGACUCGUCAGUAGCCUUACCGACAGGGGCAAUGGAAUGGUUUUGGUUGGGAUGUGGAUGGCUUUCAGGAGUGAGACGAUCUUGCAUAGAAGGACGUCUUUGUCAAGCUCUUCGUGGAUACGGUAUGAGGUUUCAGGUCUCAUAGAAGAAACAAAGUGGGGCCAAGUAGGGCCUAGUUUCUCUUUUGCAUCUUUAAAGAGGUCCUUAGCAUAUUAAGUGGUAUCGUUCCUGCCUAACGUUGGAGGCCCAUCAUAGAGAACAGAAAUGUUUGUAAUUUGUUCAUUUCUGUCUCUAGCUGGCAAGAAUGAGUCUAGCACUUCCAAGGAAGAUUGUUCUUUUUCCCUUUUUUGUUUGCUUUAUCCAGAGUCUAGCCAGAAAGAUUCAUCUCAAGAUGAGGUACAGAAAACUGCUCUGCUGCAGGACAGAUUUACUUAAAUGUAGACCCGCUAGAUGAAAAUAACCAACUCACUUUACAGAAGCCACAAGGGGUCGCUGCUCGGGGUGUUAAGUGUACUUCUGGAUGGGGAAGAAUUAUAUUCUUGGAGAUGUUGAAAAAAGAUUCCUGGGUCUUGGAAGAUAAUUACUAGAACUAUGCAGUGCUUCUGAUCAUUGGAAACCUUGUCUAACAACAGAAACAGCAUAUAAAGCAUAACCAGCUUUGAAGUGUAUUAAGGCGUGGUUGCCCAUCCCAUGUCAGGCUUGAUGUUGAAAAGACGACACCUCCAAGUUAGCAGAAGAAACAAAUCGAAGGGUGUUGUUCUCUAAGGACACCAUUUAUCAGAUUUAUCAAGAAUUCAGAGAUUUAUAUAAUAAGGUAGUCCGUCCUCUGCACCAUUUCAACAUAUGCCUGAAUAUCAGUUUUCACACUGUAGACAAUACCUGUCCCCCAACGAGACUGAACUUUUAGUCACAGUACUAACUGAAUUAUUCCGUAAACGUUGCUGCUAGCUCUUUAUUCCAGAAUCAUUAUGCAAAUAAAAGAUGUGCCUCGUGAAUCUACUUCGGAUUGAGGACUGUAAUAAAAAACACAUCACUUCUUUCAGAUUCUUGGUGAUUGAAAACAUCCAUUAGCUGCAGAUGGUAAAGCUGUGUUCUUCCUUGUCUCCCAUGCAACAUUUUACAAAAAUGGAUCAUCAGAAGAGGGAAUUGGUUAACAGAUACGACAGCAAAGAAAUGAAAAGUGCUAACACUGGAAAUGAAAUUAGAUGUGGUUAGAAGAUUUGAAAAUGGUCACAACAAAGUAAAAAAUAGGACAAGACCUGGGCCUACAUGACGCUACAGUACAAACCGUAUUUAAAAGUCUGAUGAGUUCCUGCUGUGGUGCAAAAGGAUCAGCAGCCUCUUGGGGAGUGCUGGGACGCAGGUUUGGUUCCUGGCACGGUGGGUUGAGGAUCCAGUGUUGCCACAGCUGCAGCUUUGGUUGUAACUACGGCUUGGAUCUGAUCCCUGGCCUGGGAGCUCCAUAUUCCUUGGGGUGGCCAAAAAAAAAAGGGGGGGUGUUUCAACAUCUUGUAGUUUAAAUUCCACUAGGAAAGCUGCUUAUGGUUGAAAUGGAGCCUUUAUUUCUACUUUGGAUUAAGGACUGUAAUUAAAAACAAAUCCCAUUCACUUAGGCACUGAAGUUAGUUGCUACAUGUAAGGAAAACGCUAAUUACAAGGACAUCUUUUUAGUACCAGUAAAGGUUGGUUUCAUUUUAGAAGUUAACAUGAAUUGAUUAAUAUUAAGCUAUCUGGUGAAGCUACAAGCUCAAUCAAAUAAGGAUGCUACUGUGAAAUUUGCACCCAGAUUCCAAGAAUUACAGGCAUUCCUCAUUUUGCACAGUAGUGAGAGACGACUGCAAAAAACUUCGAGAUUCGGAUGGAAUGUAAAUGGAAUUAAGGAAGGUAAUGAUGACCAUGGGAAUGGUGACACUGCUGCCAUUCAAGGAACAGUUCUAGACAUGUGGGAAGCAGAACUUACGGUGAAGUUCUAAGUGAAGAACGGUUGUAAAGCAUGAGUGCAUCUCAGGAAGUGAUGGUGUUGACAGACCUAGGCUGAAGGAGCUCUGCACACAUCCAUCGUGGUAUUGACAGCACAGAGGACAAAUUUUGGAAGGUGAUUCAGACUUAGAAAGGAGGAUGGCAAUUUACGAAGGCAUAGACAAGAUGCUCAUUAAGUUGUAAGAUGAGUAGAAGGCAAGCACUUUUCAAACUAUUUUUUAUAAAGAAAACAGUUUCAAUGUU
Phacochoerus africanus (Common warthog) is the source of this 2791-nucleotide long non-coding RNA. RefSeq lists it as uncharacterized. The record is from RefSeq and is a predicted model, not a curated record. The transcript has 7 exons. NCBI's taxonomy places the organism in Eukaryota, Metazoa, Chordata, Mammalia, Artiodactyla, Suidae.